Molecule: ribosomal RNA, 408 nt
Filed under: uncultured bacterium
Lineage: Bacteria
Description: partial 16S ribosomal RNA
Rfam family: Bacterial small subunit ribosomal RNA
Source: RNAcentral
GACGAACGCUGGCGGCGUGCUUAACACAUGCAAGUCGAACGGAGUGGCGCACGGGUGAGUAACACGUGGGUGAUCUGCCUUGCACUUCGGGAUAAGCUUGGGAAACUGGGACUAAUACCGGAUAGUGCAAGAUGAGCUCGGGGCCUAUCAGCUGGUGGGUGGGGUAAUGACCUACCAAGGCGUCGACGGGUAGCCGGCCUGAGAGGGGGUACGGCCACAUUGGGACUGAGAUACGGCCCAGACGACUACGGGAGGCAGCAGUGGGGAAUAUUGCACAAGAGGCGGAAGCCUGAUGCAGCGACGCCGCGUGGGGGAGGAAGGCCUGCGGGGUGGAAACGCCUUUCGACAGGGACGCGGUACCUGUAUAAGAAGCACCGGCUAACUACGUGCCAGCAGCCGCGGUAAUAC